Molecule: ribosomal RNA, 166 nt
Filed under: uncultured bacterium
Lineage: Bacteria
Description: partial 16S ribosomal RNA
Rfam family: Bacterial small subunit ribosomal RNA
Source: RNAcentral
CAGCAGUGGGGAAUUUUGGACAAUGGGGGCAACCCUGAUCCAGCUAUGCCGCGUGAGUGAAGAAGGCCUUCGGGUUGUAAAGCUCUUUCGUGAGGGAAGAAACGGCCAUAGUGAAUAGCUGUGGUUACUGACGGUACCUCAAGAAGAAGCACCGGCUAACUACGUG